Quercus lobata is the source of this 1235-nucleotide long non-coding RNA. RefSeq lists it as uncharacterized. NCBI's taxonomy places the organism in Eukaryota, Viridiplantae, Streptophyta, Magnoliopsida, Fagales, Fagaceae. The record is from RefSeq and is a predicted model, not a curated record. The transcript is spliced from 3 exons.
CUCCAAAGAUAAUUCACAUGAGAAAGCCACUUAGUUGUAAAAAGCUGGCCAUACAAAUGUACAUGAUAAAAACCUGAAACACCCGUAUUAAAAUGAUGCAUCAGGUUCUGCUAGUACUAUUAGUAAAAAAAAAUAGCUUAAAAAAAAGAAUGUCUUGACCACAAUAAUUAGUUUGUAAUGACAAUAACAGUAUUUAAUAGAUGCUUGAUAUUUGAUGUUAUAAAUCAUAUCAGAGGUAGAAUUCUUUUCUUUUAGCUCAAAACAACCAACAAUAUUAAAAUCAACAAAGUGAGAAAACUUUUAGUUAGUUCGUUGUUUUGGUAACAUUUUCUUUCUAAAUAUCAAGAUACUUUUGAAAAAUAAAACCAUGAUGCUUAAAAAUUAUAUUUUAUUAUAAAGCAUGAUGUCAUAGUGAUUUAACUUAGAUAACAAAUUGUGAUACAUGGUAUUAUCUUUAGACAUAACAGAAAAUUAGAAGGUUAUAUAUAUAAAAAGGAAUUAAAGCAACAAAAUACUUGUACAAUGAGCUGAUACCUGUACAUAACAGGAUUCAGUCCCUUUGUUAAGAUUAUUUUAUUUAUUGUCCUCUCUUGAGAUUCAUUAGUCUCAAAUGAUAUCAAAAAUAUUUCUUGUAGUUGGUAACAGAGCAUCAUUGUUAUUAUGUUCAAUUGGCAAGAGUGUCCUGAAAGAUAUAGAGGCUUGAACAUGAGCCAUGAAGGGGAGGACUUGUUGGCGUUCACAUGUCAAAUAGCUAAUGGAUUUACAACCAUAUUUGCUGGUGAACUGAUUGACAAGUUUGGACAUUUCAAAAUAUGACAUUUCAAAACCCAUCCAUGCCCUGCCUCGUGGUGCGGGUUUAAAAUUUUGCCCCAUCCCCGCCCCGCUUAACCCGCACGGGGCAAAGCGGGGAGGGGCGGGUUAAGCGGGAUGGAGAAAAAUUGCCAUUCCCACUUGCAAGUCUCACUUUCAAAUGCAUUACUCAUUAGUAAACCUUUUUGGAAAUUUGUUAAGGUAGUACAAAAAACGAAGAUUAAAGACAAAGAUGUAAACCAAACAGCAUGUUGUUUGCCUGUAUUGCCAUUAUUUUUGCUUGGAUCUUUAUCUUUAUUCUUGGAGAUGGACUGGGCCAACUUAGAUGUUUUCCUUCUCAUCAAUAUAGAUGCUUAUCUAGCAAAAACUGACAUGGAUCUCACCCAUCUUUUUUUAAGGAUGAGCUUAAUUUUGUGCACGGUUAA